AUUGGUGGAAAUGUGUGAC
RNAcentral lists this non-coding RNA (19 nucleotides) under Rattus norvegicus (Norway rat). Lineage: Eukaryota; Metazoa; Chordata; Mammalia; Rodentia; Muridae. The record is from RNAcentral.